GAGGAGGAGGAGGAGGAGGAGGAACAGAUGCCUCCAUCUGACAGCACUCCGCUCCUAAACAGCCCUGAACUGCCAAGGCUCCAGAUGCAUCUGCCCCCCCCCCCCCCCCAACACCGCUCCCAAUCAGCCCUGAACUGACUGAGGCACGGCAGGAUCAGGAGGAGGCAGAUUUCAGUGAACCAAUGAUACAUGGGGGACCCCUGCCAGGCAUCGAGCAGCCUACCUUGGGCACCCAGGAUCCGGGCAACCAGAGAUCCAUAUAUAGUUGUGAACAAUUGCAGCGUGCCAUACAGCUCCUGCGGGUGGUGGUACCCCUUUUAGUGGACCACUUUUUCAAUAAUUUGUUGAGAGCCAUUUAAUUUAAUUUU
This is a long non-coding RNA of Pseudophryne corroboree (corroboree frog), 368 nucleotides long. RefSeq lists it as uncharacterized. Lineage: Eukaryota; Metazoa; Chordata; Amphibia; Anura; Myobatrachidae. The record is from RefSeq and is a predicted model, not a curated record. The transcript has 5 exons.